RNAcentral lists this long non-coding RNA (456 nucleotides) under Homo sapiens (human). RNAcentral describes it as "non-protein coding LINC02237:20". Lineage: Eukaryota; Metazoa; Chordata; Mammalia; Primates; Hominidae. The record is from RNAcentral.
CUUUUAAGAAGUGAACAACCAAGUUAUUUGCCUGGAAAAGUCUCCUGAAAUACUGAAGUUAUGCUAAAGAAGGAGAAGAGAAAGGAAGCUGCAGUCCCUGUAUAACUCCUAAAUUUUUAAUUUGGAGUUCCUCUUCUUCGGUGCAACAAUCUUUCUGCAUGCACAGAUCCAUGUGGCACUCAUCUCAUCAUUCUGAGGGAAGAAAGAUGCAUAGGGAAUGUUGCAUGUGGUUAUUUCUAUUUCUCUCAAGUGCACAUUAUCCAUCAAGAAGAUUUAAAUCAUUUUGAAAUAUUAAUAUAAUGAUCAAAAAUUAACUUUUAUACAUGUUAUUAGGCAGAACCCACAGAAAACAAUAAAGCACGAGAGAAAAGAGGAUGGCAGUUUACCCAGGAAACAUAGGUUGUGCAAAGCUUUGCAAUGAUACUCUCAAUUCAGAGCAAUGAAGAACAGAAUGCU